GAUAAACGCUGGCGGCGUGCCUAAUACAUGCAAGUCGAGCGGCAGCGCAGGGUGCUUGCACCCCGGCGGCGAGCGGCGGACGGCUGAGUAACGCGUAGGAACGUACCCCAAAGUGAGGAAUAACUGCCCGAAAGGGUGGCUAAUGCCGCAUGUGCUCUUCGGAGUAAAGCUUCGGCGCUUUGGGAACGGCCUGCGUCCGAUUAGCUAGUUGGUAAGGUAAUGGCUUACCAAGGCUACGAUCGGUAGCUGGUCUGAGAGGAUGAUCGGCCAGACUGGGACUGAGAACGGCCCAGACUCCUACGGGAGGCAGCAGUAGGGAAUUUUCCACAAUGGGCGUAAGCCUGAUGGAGCAACGCCGCGUGCAGGGAUGAAGGGCCUUAGGGUCGUAAACUGCUUUUCUCUGUGAAGAUUAUGACGUUAACAGAGGAAUAAGGGAUCUGCUAACUACGUAGCCAGCCGCCGCAGUAAU
This 469-nucleotide ribosomal RNA is filed under the name uncultured bacterium. RNAcentral's name for it is "bacterial SSU rRNA". It matches the Rfam family "Bacterial small subunit ribosomal RNA", at positions 28 to 524 of the family's 1533-position model. The record is from RNAcentral.